UACGUAGGGUGCAAGCGUUAAUCGGAAUUACUGGGCGUAAAGCGUGCGCAGGCGGUUUUGUAAGCCAGAUGUGAAAGCCCCGGGCUUAACCUGGGAAUGGCAUUUGGGACUGCAAGGCUUGAGUGCGGCAGAGGAGACUGGAAUUCCUGGUGUAGCAGUGAAAUGCGUAGAUAUCAGGAGGAAUACCGAUGGCGAAGGCAGGUCUCUGGGCUGACACUGACGCUCAUGCACGAAAGCGUGGGGAGCAAACAGG
Molecule: ribosomal RNA, 253 nt
Filed under: uncultured bacterium
Lineage: Bacteria
Description: partial 16S ribosomal RNA
Rfam family: Bacterial small subunit ribosomal RNA
Source: RNAcentral